RNAcentral lists this long non-coding RNA (4156 nucleotides) under Homo sapiens (human). RNAcentral describes it as "HSALNT0169939". Lineage: Eukaryota; Metazoa; Chordata; Mammalia; Primates; Hominidae. The record is from RNAcentral.
AAGAGAGAAGCCCCUCCCAUUCGCUUCUACUGGGGCUUGUUAGGCCAUCGCCUUGGGGGCCGGCUGAUCAGCGGCAGCCAGCAGCCGGCGGCUUCGGCAGGCAGGAACAAGGACAGCCUGUGGCUACUGCAGCCCCACUGCCCGGCCAUGCUUCAUGAUGGGGGAGAGUGCCUUGGGAGGAAUAUACAGGCAAAUCAUGACUCCCAGAGGCCUAUGGACUGGAGCUAUUAACAUCCUGCAGAUGGGAGCCACUCUCUCACUGUGAUCACCAAGUAAUUUUCAUCGACUGUGGAGCAGCCUGCUGGGACCCUGCCAGCUGAUCUUAACAAGCCCACUUACUGCAGGAUUCCCACUGCUUUCCUGGGCUAGGAAUUCCUUAACCAAAGCUAAAGAUUUCCUAGAUGAAAGACCUUGAUCCACUGCCUUUCAUGAUUCAGCACUGGAUUUUCUGUUCCAUGCAGCCUUCUAUUGGAAUAAUUUUGUGAAAUGAAGGCAACAAAGUAUUGUUUUCUUAAUCAAAGAGAACUUCAUAAAAAUUGUGCUCCUUGACUGCUAAUUUGUCCUGCAUUGUUACCGAUGCUUUUCUUAUGAUUUUUGUUUUGCACUGAACAGCCCCCUGGCUGAGAGAAAACCCCGAAGCAGUUAAGAUACCAGGAAAGGAAGACUUGAAAAUUGGUUAGUGAAGAUUCUGAGUAUUUCCUGGUGCGUCUGGGAAUUUUGUUUGUUUUUUGUGGUGAUAUUUCUUUCUCUCUGUAUGUCUCUGUCUCUCUGUCUCUAUCUGCAUCUCUGCCCUUGUUAGAAGGGACUAAUUAGAAUGGCACAAACACGUUAGAAUUGGAGAUCAUUGUUGCAAAGGCCCUUAGGAAGAGGGGGGCAGUUUUGGUCCAUUCUGAAGGCUAUCAAGGCGGUUUCCAGCUUGCUCUUGGCACGAAAAGGAAUAACCAGGGCCAUUUUAAUGCCAUGGGCAGGGAAAGCAUGAUGCAAAGCUUUUGGAGGGGCCACCGGGUAACAACAGGAGAGCACCAGAACUCACGGAGAGAGCAGAGGUUGAGGAAGCCUGGCGCCCCAGCGACAAAGCAGUGUCCCCGACAAAAGAAAGAUUCAAUCUUGGAAACAGAAACAUGAAGUGAAUGUUUAAUACCAUGGUCCAAGAAGAUGGCAUUUUCUGUGACUGGAACAAUGCAGAAUUAAUGUGUAUCUGCAAGAAAUAUCAUUAAGAUUAAGUAUUCUUCAGAGAGAUUGGAGAAUCGGGGAAUUCAAGUGCGUUUGUUGGCUUGAGCCAGCCCUCCGCUACCUGACCCAUCUGCAGGCAGAAAGGGCAUCCACCAAGUGAGUCUUUCUCAGUAGAGGAGGCAGUGUGCUGUUAUAUGCUGAUGCAGCUCCUUGUCUUGGACUCAUAACUGACAGAACAGCAUGUGGACCUCACCGCUCCUUGGACUUCGAGUGGCGCUACUCUAACGCUGAGUCCUGACCUGGAUCCCUGUUUGCUUGCCUAGACCUAAGGCGGUGGUGCAGACCUUCCCCCACCCCACAUACCAUCGCCUUCUGGAAUGUGGCUUUGUGGAACUGAGGCUGAGACAAUCACAGUGCCCCAUUCUUCUGGUCAUGUGACAGGUCUGGACCUGGUCAUGUGGCAAAGUCGAAUCUAAGUCACAUCAAAGCAGGGAGAGUUAAAGCAAAUCUUUUCUCUCUUGUUGUGGAGCUGGAAUAUGAGCCCAGAAGCUUCCAGAACACAUGGUCCUGCCCUCAUAAAGAAGCUCAAGUGAGGGAACAAAAUCGACUUAGGUAGCAGCGAGCAUGGAUGGGGCCUGGCUACAUCAAGUUCUCAGAUCCUGUUGUCCCCACCCACCCCCUGUAACUUGCCAAUUUUAUCCAUCAAGCAUCCUCUCCUCUCUCCCAACUUGUCUGAGUUCUGUUUCUGUCAUUGUCACCAAGAGAGCUUUGAUGAGUAAGAAAUCCCAACAUUCCACGGGAGUCUUGGUGGUUUAAAUUUUUAAGUGAGUCCUCACUUGUUAAAGUCUUAUUCCUGUUAGAGGGCACUUCCAUAGUCCAGAAGGUGGGGAAUUCCUAUAGGUGACCUGUGGUCUCUCUAAGCAAUUUGACCAGGACUAUUUAAUAAAAUAUUUUAAAAAUGGUUCCUUUUAAUUAUUCAUUUUCAAAUGUAUAUUUGUUCUUGGCAAACAAGAGAUGAUUUGCGUUAAUCAGUGAUCUUUAAGCAAAUUCCUUGCAAUACUUUAUCUCCAUAUAAACUCGAAGCUUCUUAAAUGAAAUAGUACCUGUGUAUUUCAUAUGGCUUCCUCUUUUAUAAAUAAAAUGAAUGGACUUGGGACCAAAACAGAAUUUUUUUUUUCGGGAACUAUAGGACUGGAAUCUUUUUAUCCAAGGCAGUUGGAUCCCACAGUACAUUUUCACUGUAACAGACAAUGAGGUUGAGUCAAUAAAUAAAUAAAUAAAGUCACCAACAUGUCCAAAAGCCUCCAUUUAAAACUCAAAGCCAGUGGUUUUGGGUUUCACCUUUUCCUUUAAAAUUAAAUUCCCUGAAACCAUAUUUUAAAAAUGCUAUCUGAAUGGGAACCGCCAAACUGGGAAACUUUAAGUUUAAAAAUAGAACUGCAUCUGAAUUAUCUUAUAGAAAUUUGUCUUCUAACCAGCCAUCAGUAACUGUAAGCAUGCUUCAUAGAUCUACAUAUUUCAGCACUUUUUACAUUCUGAAAGAAUCUUGCUUAGAUACGAAGGUUAACUGGACACCUUUUUCUGCAUUCACCUUUAAUACUGGAUGCCCCCUUUAUCUGCACUCCCAAGCUGGGAAGCCCCAGAGUGGGCUCUUGGCCCCUUGCGGCCAACUGAAGUUCUCCAUCUCUGCAGCCUCCGUGAUCACCUUAAGAAUAGGCUCGCGACCUCCUUUGGGCCACACAGAGUCCUUCUCAGGGCUUGCGCUGGAGCUCUCAGGAGGGAUGCUCGCUUUCUCACUGAUCAGGAACUCUAAGGACCAAAGCCUGGAGUGAGGAUGUGAUCUGCUUGCAAGCGAAGGAGGCAGGAGGCAGCCGGACUCGAGGGCACACAUGACCUGGCAGGGCUGAACCUCAGGCUCCGGUGAGGCUGGCUCCUGACUGCCCCUCUGGACUUUCUCAGUUAUUUCAGGCCAUGGAUUAUCUUUAGUGCUUAAGCUAGUUUGAGUUGUGUUUCUGCCACUCAUAAUUCAGAGAAUCCUGGUGGCUUCAGUGUGAUCAGGAAGACAUUGGGAGCCAUUUUAGUUUUUACUUAACUUUUCCAAACUUGCUAGACAGGCUGAUUAUGGGUCUGUGCUAGUCUGGGAACCUGUGUUUGCUCUCUUAAGCCAUGGGUCUUAGACUCAUUUCCUGUUGCAAACAGGAUGCACUGCACAUUUUUACUGUGUUUUUGCUGCCCAUAAGUGGGAGGCAGAUUCGAAUGAUAGAAUUGGAAAGGUUCCAAAAGCACCAGCCAUGGUAGGGACCCUGAAGAUUGCAAGAUAAACAAAAGCAUUCAGAACUUGUGAUGGGAGUGUGAGAGGAUUGAGCGUUGAAGUCAGCCUAACAGAGGCUGUCGUUUACCCGGUGAAAUCCUCAAGUUACAAACAGCUGCUGUGCAAUUGGAAGUCACAGUCUUCAGUUAGGCUUGAUUUGUCAUUUGGUUUAUAAAUAAGCUUUCAUUUUGUCUUUUUUUUUUUUUUUUUUUGGUCUGGCAAUGUGGUAUCUCUUCCUUGCAGGAUUUGGGAAGCUGGGAAUAUGUGUGACCCACACUACCUGAGGGUGAUAGACUUUGACAGUGUCUCCAGCAUUUUCAUGUUGAAAUCUGCUUUAUCCUAAUUUCCAGUCUUGGUCUUGUCUGUCACAGGCUGGGGAGAAGAGCACCGUCCAGAGAAGGACCCAAUAAGGGACAUUUCCACCUUGCUUAGUGGGUUGAGGGCUGGGCUUUGGGUUUGAGAUGUGAAGAGAAAGAAGCUACGUGGAAGAGAAAGGAUGGAGGUACAAGGACGCCCUCCAGCCGGCUACACUUCUGAAACUAAAACAUACAAAACUCAGUGGCUUUUCCUCAACUCCUAUGAUGGAUGUGCAAGGACGCCCUCCAGCUGGCUGCAUUUCUGAUGCUAAAAAUACAAAACUCAGCAGCUUUGCCCAUACUCCUAUGAUGCCUG